GAGGGUAUAGCUUAGUGGUAGAGCACAUGCUGAGCAUGCAUGAGGUCCUGGGUUCAAUCCCCAGCACCUCCA
This 72-nucleotide transfer RNA is filed under the name Camelus ferus (Wild Bactrian camel). It matches the Rfam family "tRNA". Rfam says of the family: Transfer RNA (tRNA) molecules are approximately 80 nucleotides in length. Lineage: Eukaryota; Metazoa; Chordata; Mammalia; Artiodactyla; Camelidae. The record is from Rfam by way of RNAcentral.